Molecule: ribosomal RNA, 463 nt
Filed under: uncultured bacterium
Lineage: Bacteria
Description: bacterial SSU rRNA
Rfam family: Bacterial small subunit ribosomal RNA
Source: RNAcentral
AUUGAACGCUGGCGGCAGGCCUAACACAUGCAAGUCGAGCGGUUGAGGUAGCUUGCUACCGAUACAGCGGCGGACGGGUGAGUAAUACAUGGGAAUCUGCCUGGUAGUGGGGGACAACGUUUCGAAAGGAACGCUAAUACCGCAUACGCCCUACGGGGGAAAGGGGGGGAUCGCAAGACCUCUCGCUAUCAGAUGAGCCCAUGUCAGAUUAGCUAGUUGGUGGGGUAAAGGCCUACCAAGGCAUCGAUCAGUAGCUGGUCUGAGAGGACGACCAGCCACACUGGGACUGAGACACGGCCCAGACUCCUACGGGAGGCAGCAGUGGGGAAUAUUGCACAAUGGGCGCAAGCCUGAUGCAGCGACGCCGCGUGAGGGAUGACGGCCUUCGGGUUGUAAACCUCUUUCAGUAGGGACGAAGCGCAAGUGACGGUACCUAUAGAAGAAGCACCGGCCAACUACGUGC